Molecule: ribosomal RNA, 700 nt
Filed under: uncultured bacterium
Lineage: Bacteria
Description: bacterial SSU rRNA
Rfam family: Bacterial small subunit ribosomal RNA
Source: RNAcentral
AGAGUUUGAUCCUGGCUCAGAUUGAACGCUGGCGGCAGGCCUAACACAUGCAAGUCGAGCGGAUGAGGGUAGCUUGCUACCUGAUUCAGCGGCGGACGGGUGAGUAAUGCCUAGGAAUCUGCCCGAUAGUGGGGGACAACGUUUCGAAAGGAACGCUAAUACCGCAUACGUCCUACGGGAGAAAGCAGGGGACCUUCGGGCCUUGCGCUAUCGGAUGAGCCUAGGUCGGAUUAGCUAGUUGGUGGGGUAAAGGCUCACCAAGGCGACGAUCCGUAACUGGUCUGAGAGGAUGAUCAGUCACACUGGAACUGAGACACGGCCCAGACUCCUACGGGAGGCAGCAGUGGGGAAUAUUGGACAAUGGGGGGAACCCUGAUCCAGCCAUGCCGCGUGUGUGAAGAAGGCCUUUUGGUUGUAAAGCACUUUAAGCGAGGAGGAGGCUACUCUAGUUAAUACCUAGAGAUAGUGGACGUUACUCGCAGAAUAAGCACCGGCUAACUCUGUGCCAGCAGCCGCGGUAAUACAGAGGGUGCGAGCGUUAAUCGGAUUUACUGGGCGUAAAGCGUGCGUAGGCGGCUUUUUAAGUCGGAUGUGAAAUCCCUGAGCUUAACUUAGGAAUUGCAUUCGAUACUGGGAAGCUAGAGUAUGGGAGAGGAUGGUAGAAUUCCAGGUGUAGCGGUGAAAUGCGUAGAGAUCUGGA